GUGGGGAAUCUUGCGCAAUGGGCGAAAGCCUGACGCAGCCAUGCCGCGUGAAUGAUGAAGGUCUUAGGAUUGUAAAAUUCUUUCACCGGGGACGAUAAUGACGGUACCCGGAGAAGAAGCUCCGGCUAACUUCGUGCCAGCAGCCGCGGUAAUACGAAGGGGGCUAGCGUUGCUCGGAAUUACUGGGCGUAAAGGGCGCGUAGGCGGACAGCUUAGUCAGAGGUGAAAGCCCAGGGCUCAACCUUGGAAUUGCCUUUGAUACUGGCUGUCUUGAGUGUGGGAGAGGUGAGUGGAACUCCGAGUGUAGAGGUGAAAUUCGUAGAUAUUCGGAAGAACACCAGUGGCGAAGGCGACUCACUGGCCCAAUACUGACGCUGAGGCGCGAAAGCGUGGGGAGCAAACAGGAUUAGAUACCCCUGUAGUCC
Molecule: ribosomal RNA, 425 nt
Filed under: uncultured bacterium
Lineage: Bacteria
Description: bacterial SSU rRNA
Rfam family: Bacterial small subunit ribosomal RNA
Source: RNAcentral